This 1072-nucleotide long non-coding RNA is filed under the name Salvia miltiorrhiza (redroot sage). RNAcentral describes it as "long non-coding RNA (SMIL_LNC006790)". Lineage: Eukaryota; Viridiplantae; Streptophyta; Magnoliopsida; Lamiales; Lamiaceae. The record is from RNAcentral.
CGAGCCACGGCCACGGCUUCUGUCCGACCCAUCUCCAUCUCUCAGCCCCUAAUCUCCCUCAUCUCUCCCAAAGAAACCCUAGAUCCCCAAAUCCUCACCGCCUCUUUGCGAUUUCCGGCGACCACGCAGCCAUGGCCGCCGCUGCUUCGACUCCCUCUAGCUCUGGUAGAACAGUAACAAAUCGCCGCCCUUCCCCACAUGGUAAGUAUUAAAUGUUUGACUAUUUUAAAUAUAGAAUUAUUGUUAUUUUAGAAAGAACAAAUUUUGGAAAGAAUUUUAACAAUGGAAACUCAUAACCUAGAUUUUUAGCUAUAAAUUACACGAAUCAUUCAGAAAUUGGUCGCAACUUUUUUUACAGCCAACGCAAGGUAUUGCUGCGUUUAUUUAUAUUUGUUCAUUGCUUAAGUUUUCUUUGUUUUUAAAUAAGUUCUGUUUAUAAUUUCUCUUUUUAUUUCUCCAUAUUGCAGCACCAAAAAUCUAAUAUUUUACCUCAUCGUGUUUUUACAAGCAAUUGCAAGGUACCCUUCUUCUUCUUUUGUUGUGUUUCUGUGAUUCACCUUUUUAUUUCUAUUUUCCAGAUUUUUGGUUUAGAUUUACUUCCCUGUUUUGCCGGUUUAAGUGUUCUGUUAGAUUUCUUGUGAUUUCUGUUAGAUUUCUUGUGAUUUCUUGAAAGCUUUCUUUUGUUGGCUGAUGGCUGUGUUCUGUAUUGAGAUAUGAGAAGUUUUCUGUUGUAAUAUAUUAGUUGUACGUUCUGCACCAGUUUCAAUUCAGAUAGCUUAUAUUAUUAGUUUGGUGAGUGGCAAUUUACUCAUGGAACUCUAGGUAUAAAUGUUAAAAUUUCUGGGAAUAAAAUUGGAGUAUAUAUUUGAUUGUGAAUUUGUGAUGCAACCCUGGGUGAAUAAAACAGAAUAAUAAUGUUAAGUUGUUUCUGUUUUGAUGCACUCAAUACGUAUACCCUGAGUCUAUCUAAUAGAUGUACACUAUGAAUUAAUCGUGUCUGUUUGAGUUGAUUACAGAUAAUAUACAGACCAACGGCGCUUACAACACAAGAGAGGAGAGUUUGAAGAGAGAA